GAUGGAGUGGCAGAUUGAGAAUGCACUGAAUUGUAAAUUCAGGUUAUGGAGGUUCAAAUCCUUUUUUUAUCA
RNAcentral lists this transfer RNA (72 nucleotides) under Cheiraster sp. SS-2022. RNAcentral describes it as "tRNA-Tyr". It matches the Rfam family "tRNA". From Rfam's summary of the family: Transfer RNA (tRNA) molecules are approximately 80 nucleotides in length. The record is from RNAcentral. Lineage: Eukaryota; Metazoa; Echinodermata; Asteroidea; Notomyotida; Benthopectinidae.